This is a non-coding RNA of Lolium perenne, 1254 nucleotides long. The record is from RefSeq and is a predicted model, not a curated record. Lineage: Eukaryota; Viridiplantae; Streptophyta; Magnoliopsida; Poales; Poaceae.
CCGCCUCCCCGUGCGCCUCGGAGUGUCGGGCAGCAGACGCGGCCGCUUCGCAGCUUCACGCCUCCACCCCUCUCUCGCGCUCGCCUCUCCAGGGACGGCGACUUCUCCGGCGACUGGCCACUGCAUCCUCCCACGCUACCAGAUCGACGGCCACCCCAUCCUCCUCGCUCUUCCUCGCGCGCCUCCGCAGAUCUACGCGGAAGCCGACCCGGCCGCUCGCCCCUACCGCUAUGCCUUCCUACCCCGGUGAGCAUGGUCCGGAACGCACGCUUCUGCAUUGUGCUUACCGAGUUGGUCGCCGCCCUGCAGCAACUCCCAUCACCGAUCCCCCUGCUCCAUCGUGCUUGACACACAGCUCAUGCUAGGGCUCCCAACCCCUACCGGUGGUGGGUAUUCUUCAGUUUUUGUUGUGGAGUUGUUGAUGAAAUUUCAAGCAGGCUAUAGUUAAGGGGAUUGAUUUUGCCCGUGCCUCCAUACCUGCGCCAUGAGUCAUUGUUUGGGGAUUUCCAGCUGUGGUAAACCGGUUGGCUCUGUAGGUGAUGUGUUGAUCAUGGGGUGCCUCCUAACCCCCUGUAGAAACGAAUCUGAACACUAAAACCUGGUCCUCAAGGAUGUUGUACUCACUCCAUUGCUUUCAAUGGAGGAACCCUGUCUGACACGCUUCCGUCUGCUCUUAUGAGGAGCCGCGGGCAUGUUCCGAGAGGGAUCGAUAGAUGGAUUCGUCAAGCAAUGACAAUGCAGCUCCAGCCUAUAUGCUGACAAACCUGGUUGAUGCAACCACGACAUUCCAGAUCGUCGACAUUCAGCGGUAUAUGAUGGAGUCCAUCCCAAUAAUUUUGCAGCCAUCUGGCCCAAGCGAUGGCUUGCACAUCUUCCCCCGAGGGGUUAUUUACAGGGUUAGUAUCAGCUACAUGCGAAUGCAACUUAGACUGAAGUCAUGUACCAUGUGGUAUACGUGGUGAGCAACUAAACAAUUGUUAUACAAAGACUGAAGUCAUGCAAACAUUCAUGCUGAUAAAUGACUAUACAGUGCUGAAAUGAAUUCUGAUAUCUUCUAGGAGAUCUGAGCUCCAUUGAAAUAUGAUCAUCAGUAAAUAAAUAGCUGUGAGAAAUGUGGUAGUUAUCAUUUUCCCCUUCUACUAGAAUAAAUAUGUGGAUUUUGCCUGCCUAGCUUGUCGGCUUUGUAAAAUUUCUUAAUAUCUCGGUUCAAAUAUUAUAGCACGUCACUGAUAUAUCUGAUAUCCUACUCCUAUA